RNAcentral lists this long non-coding RNA (1115 nucleotides) under Dromaius novaehollandiae (emu). Its description in RNAcentral is "lncRNA (ENSDNVG00000003122.1)". Lineage: Eukaryota; Metazoa; Chordata; Aves; Casuariiformes; Dromaiidae. The record is from RNAcentral.
AGCUGGGCGGCCUGGAGGAGACCUUCCGCCGCCGGCGGUACCUGGGCGCCGCGGAGCGCGGGCGGCUGGCGGCCGCGCUGCACCUCUCCGAGACCCAGGUGGGCCCGGGGGGACCCGCCCGCGGCCGUGAACGCGCUGGGGGGGGGGUCCAGUGGGGGAGGUGUCACGGGUGCUUUUCCCCCUCGGUUCGGGAUGCGGUGUGUGUGAGCAGCUACCCGGUUUGCGGUAACAGACCUUGCGGAGGCUGCAGCUGGUCCUGAAGGCUGGAAGGGGCUCGCCGAAAAUCGCCGAGCCGGGAAGCAGGGACCCCCCGCCUCCCCACGCGUGCACACACCCUGCGCUGCCCGCGGGGGGACACCGGUGCAGCCCCGUCGGUUCGAACGCAGCGAAACGACCCGGGCAGCGGCGCUGGUCGCAGUCCGCACGUUAUUUUUUAGAACCGGAGGAUGAAGCUGAAGAGGCAGGUCCAGGAGCCCCAGCGCCGCCCGCCGCUCUGCAGCUGCGCCCCGGGGCCGCGCCGGGGGCUCCUGCCGCUGCUGCCCGGCGCCGCGCGGCCCCUCGGCCUCCCCUUCCCGGCGUGCGAGGCACCGCAGGGCACCCACCGCCUCGCGGCCAGCGAGCUGCCCCGUGUCCACCGACACCUCCUGCCGCAUCCGUCUUUCCCCCCGGUCGCGCAGAACCGGAGGGACAAGCAGCACCAUCCCCUGUACGCGUCGUCGUGAAGGCAAGGGCCGGGCGGGGGAGGGAAAUGCUGCAACUUCUUUUGUGCCGCUGCUUCUUUUCUUCCUUUCUGCUCGGAAUCUGAUUCGCAAGUGUAUGUGUUUAUUAUAUUAAAUUAAAUAUGAAGAGUAAUUUUAUAUUUGUACGAAUUGAUAUUAAAAUUUAUCAGAUGUGAUCUGCUCUUAAGUCGUUUUUGGUUUAAUAUCCCACCGUUUCAAAAGUGGUCACUGUGUAAAAAUAUUGGUAGUCUACUUGCUUCCUUUGAUUUCCGGAUAUGGUAAAGAAUAUCUUGCUCCGUAUUGCUAUCUAGGCACUUUUGAAAUGUCUGAAAUUACGCUGUAGCCUCAGUGAGAGCCAUGAGGUACUACUUAUGGCUUCUGUGCCCCAGCCUGUUG